GAUGAACGCUGGCGGCGUGCCUAAUACAUGCAAGUCGAGCGAACGGACGAGAAGCUUGCUUUUCUGAUGUUAGCGGCGGACGGGUGAGUAACACGUGGAUAACCUACCUAUAAGACUGGGAUAACUUCGGGAAACCGGAGCUAAUACCGGAUAAUAUUUUGAACCGCAUGGUUCAAAAGUGAAAGACGGUCUUGCUGUCACUAAUAGAUGGAUCCGCGCUGCAUUAGCUAGUUGGUAAGGUAACGGCUUACCAAGGCAACGAUGCAUAGCCGACCUGAGAGGGUGAUCGGCCACACUGGAACUGAGACACGGUCCAGACUCCUACGGGAGGCAGCAGUAGGGAAUCUUCCGCAAUGGGCGAAAGCCUGACGGAGCAACGCCGCGUGAGUGAUGAAGGUCUUCGGAUCGUGAAACUCUGUUAUUAGGGAAGAACAUAUGUGUAAGUAACUGUGCACAUCUUGACGGUACCUAAUCAGAAAGCCACGGCUAACUACGUG
RNAcentral lists this ribosomal RNA (497 nucleotides) under uncultured bacterium. Its description in RNAcentral is "partial 16S ribosomal RNA". It matches the Rfam family "Bacterial small subunit ribosomal RNA", at positions 28 to 507 of the family's 1533-position model. The record is from RNAcentral.